AUCUAAUAUAAUGAAAUACGGUAUAUAAUUAGAACUCUGGCCGACCCGAUUUUAUUUCUUCCUAAUAGGAACUUAAGUCGAGCCAGCCGUACAUAGUCUAGUGUGCUGCCCGUAAGGUGGCGACGCCACGCAUCGGCGCGACGAACUACCUCGCCUGCGCAUCGCUCGGCUCCACACGUGCAUCCUGCCGCUACCAUUAAUAAUGGCGUCAGAUCUAUCCAUGUGCACGUCUCGAUAUUAAAGAAAAACGCGUAUUUCUCGUAUUUCACGUUGUCGUGCAACGCGAGUGCAACAUCACAUCCAGUGAUGCUCGAUAACCAUUCUUACACGCCGUUGCGUUCGAAUUACCAACUCUACGACGAAUAACCUACCAUGACCGCGCCAGAUAACCUCCAUUCCCAAACAGAGAAUGAAUGGGAGAAUGACAGCCGAGCCACACGCGAAAUGGAGCGUACUCUCUAAAUGCACGCAGCCUUCGUAUUUUAACAAAAACAUGCAGUGUAAGUAAGUAUACGUAAGUAAUAUUAUUACUACUUACAGCCCUCCGCAUAACCUUAUCCGUCCACUGCAUCGCAUAUCGAGCCACACUCCUCCAGCACACUCCUCCUGGCAGCACUAAAACUGCCAACCUCACGAUCACUAGAAACACCACUGAGAUCACUGUAGAAGCCACCUGCAUAAGUUUUGUCAGAGACCAGGCUACGUCGCUAAAAAAUUUAUGUGCUCUAUCUUAACUCGUACCAGCUCACGACACAAUUAUCGACAAGAUUUACCCUGCCUCUAGCAGAAUCGCCACCUCCUUACAAUAUCACUGCUUCAUAGAAGCAGUCAAGGUAAAAUACAAAAGACUUAAAACUAGUCAGUCGCUGUAAGUACACUAUAAUCGCUUAAUCUAAAAAUAGCCUAUUCCAUUAUAAAGUAUCUACUAACUAUCCUUAUAAACACCCUUUUACUGUCAUUUAAUAUAAAUAAUGUAAAUAAUGUAAGGUAGCCACCUGUCACAAUAAUCCUCGUUAUAUCCUAUUUCAGGUAUCACAACCUCCUUCGCAGUAUACACGCAGCCUCAUAUACCAGGUUCGUCCCACUCGUUCACUUAUGAAUAAGAAUACAAGAACACUUAAACUAGGCAGUCUAGUAAGUAGAACUAAAACUCUUAAUCUAGAAAUUACUCUGUCGCAUGUAUAAAAUUAAUGAUACUAUAACUAAUACGAAAUUCCACCUCCCAAUAUAAUUCUUUGUUUCUACCUACAAAUCGAGAACUCAAUUGCACAUCCCAUCGCCUUCUUUAUCAAAACUUUACCUCAUAAGGGUACGUACUUCUUCAUUAUAUACUAUAUUAAUACAUGGGAUAAAUAAUCAUCUAAUCGUCUAAGAGUCGUGAUAACUAAUCGACAGCUCGUUUCUUUAUUUACAGAUGACGACUCAUCGACUCUACACUAAAGCACCAUAAAAACCUUAUCACAACCAUCUAUAAAGGCCAAUAAUUAUACCUACAGCAUGCUCACCUAUCAUACUAAAUAACACUAAAUCUCUAUCAUACCGUGUAAAUAGUCCAUUGUUAAAAAUAACAGUAGAUAUUACAAUGAGAUACACAUCAUGACGAUCGUUCAUAAUCUAUUUCAGAUAUCGAAUCACAUUCACCUAUCAUUACACAAUCCAGGAACUAACUCCCUCCAACUCUAGAAAAUAACAACUCGUCGACUGACAAGAACAACAUAACCUACAAACUUCGAACUAUAUCCCUUCACAACGAGGCAUUUUAUAACUUUUUCCCGCACUUCUCCGUUCUAAACUGCAACGCCCCUUGUAAACAACACCACUAGAUACACACCUACAAUAAAGAUAUAAUAAAAAUAUAAUCCUACACUCA
Bombus impatiens (common eastern bumble bee) is the source of this 1870-nucleotide long non-coding RNA. RefSeq lists it as uncharacterized. The transcript is spliced from 4 exons. Lineage: Eukaryota; Metazoa; Arthropoda; Insecta; Hymenoptera; Apidae. The record is from RefSeq and is a predicted model, not a curated record.